RNAcentral lists this unclassified non-coding RNA (369 nucleotides) under Bombus terrestris (buff-tailed bumblebee). RNAcentral describes it as "misc RNA ENSBTSG00005035494.1". The record is from RNAcentral. Lineage: Eukaryota; Metazoa; Arthropoda; Insecta; Hymenoptera; Apidae.
GAGAAGAAGCAUUCAAAAAUUCAGCAAGAAAUUUCAAAAUCGACAAACAAAAAUAUGAUAAAAAAAAGAGGAGAACACGAAUUUAAAAUUGGUGAUAUGGUCUUCACCCACAACGGAAACAAAAUGAAUAGAAAUAAGCUGGAAGAAAUUAGGAAAGGACCCUUCAAAAUUCCAAGAAGGAUUUCAAACUCCAUAUAUGAAGUGGAUAACGGUAAUCCGAGGUCUGAAGGGAAUCUCUUCCACUCGAGGGUGGCACGACAGACUGUGUUUCACGGACAGACUGAUCUUCUUUUGUUUUACGGACGACCUUUUUAAGAACCACGUGUUCCCUAAACGGAGGGACAGAGAGUUACAUUAGAGACAGACAAG